RNAcentral lists this ribosomal RNA (1048 nucleotides) under Neopestalotiopsis sp. Its description in RNAcentral is "eukaryotic LSU rRNA". The stretch from base 460 to 1048 matches the Rfam family "Eukaryotic large subunit ribosomal RNA", at positions 1 to 601 of the family's 3401-position model. The record is from RNAcentral. Lineage: Eukaryota; Fungi; Ascomycota; Sordariomycetes; Amphisphaeriales; Sporocadaceae.
AGUUUUCUAAACUCCCACCCAUGUGAACUUACCUUUUGUUGCCUCGGCAGAAGUUAUAGGUCUUCUUAUAGCUGCUGCCGGUGGACCAUUAAACUCUUGUUAUUUUAUGUAAUCUGAGCGUCUUAUUUUAAUAAGUCAAAACUUUCAACAACGGAUCUCUUGGUUCUGGCAUCGAUGAAGAACGCAGCGAAAUGCGAUAAGUAAUGUGAAUUGCAGAAUUCAGUGAAUCAUCGAAUCUUUGAACGCACAUUGCGCCCAUUAGUAUUCUAGUGGGCAUGCCUGUUCGAGCGUCAUUUCAACCCUUAAGCCUAGCUUAGUGUUGGGAAUCUACUUCUCUUAGGAGUUGUAGUUCCUGAAAUACAACGGCGGAUUUGUAGUAUCCUCUGAGCGUAGUAAUUUUUUUCUCGCUUUUGUUAGGUGCUAUAACUCCCAGCCGCUAAACCCCCAAUUUUUUGUGGUUGACCUCGGAUCAGGUAGGAAUACCCGCUGAACUUAAGCAUAUCAAUAAGCGGAGGAAAAGAAACCAACAGGGAUUGCCUUAGUAACGGCGAGUGAAGCGGCAACAGCUCAAAUUUGAAAUCUGGCCCUUGGGUCCGAAUUGUAAUUUGUAGAGGAUGAUUUUGGUGCGGUAUCUUCCGAGUUCCUUGGAACAGGACGCCUUAGAGGGUGAGAGCCCCGUACGGUUGAAUGCCUAGCCUCUGUAAAUCUCCUUCGACGAGUCGAGUAGUUUGGGAAUGCUGCUCUAAAUGGGAGGUAAAUUUCUUCUAAAGCUAAAUAUUGGCCAGAGACCGAUAGCGCACAAGUAGAGUGAUCGAAAGAUGAAAAGCACUUUGAAAAGAGGGUUAAAUAGCACGUGAAAUUGUUGAAAGGGAAGGAUUUGUGACCAGACUUUUUCUGGGCGGAUCAUCCGGGGUUCUCUCCGGUGCACUUCGCCCAGUAAAGGCCAGCAUCGGUUUUCGGCGUGGGAUAAAAGCAGUAGGAAUGUGGCUCUCUACGGGGAGUGUUAUAGCCUAUUGUAUAAUACCGCGCUGGGACCGAGGUUCGCGCU